UAAUCUACCUUUGGGUAGGGAAUAACUAUGCGAAAGCGUAGCUAAUACCCUAUGUGGUUUCAUAACGUUGGUUGUGAAAAGAAAGGGGGUCGUAAGAUCUCUCGCCAAGAGAUGAGCCUGGGCCCGAUUAGCUAGUUGGUGAGGUAAUGGCUCACCAAGGCGACGACCGGUAGCUGAUCUGAGAGGAUGAUCAGCCACACUGGAACUGACACACGGUCCAG
Molecule: ribosomal RNA, 221 nt
Filed under: uncultured bacterium
Lineage: Bacteria
Description: partial 16S ribosomal RNA
Rfam family: Bacterial small subunit ribosomal RNA
Source: RNAcentral